Molecule: ribosomal RNA, 914 nt
Filed under: uncultured archaeon
Lineage: Archaea
Description: bacterial SSU rRNA
Rfam family: Archaeal small subunit ribosomal RNA
Source: RNAcentral
UUCCGGUUGAUCCUGCCGGACCCCACUGCUAUCGGGAUAGGACUAAGACAUGCUAGUCACGCCAGCCAAGAGUGGCGCACAGCUCAGUAACACGUGGCUAACCUGCCCUUGGGACGGAGACACCCCCGGGAAACUGGGGCUAAUCCCCGAUAGGUGAAGAACUCUGGAAUGAGUCUCCACCUAAAAGACUUACCGCCCAAGGAUGGGGCCGCGACCGAUCAGGUUGUUGGUGAGGUAACGGCCCACCAAGCCUUUUACCGGUGCGGGCCGUGGGAGCGGGAGCCCGGAGAUGGGCACUGAGACAAGGGCCCAGGCCCUACGGGGCGCAGCAGUCGCGAAAACUUUGCAAUACACGAAAGUGUGACAGGGUUAUCCCGAGUGCCAUCCGCUGAGGAAGGCUUUUACCCAGUUUAGAACGCUGGGAGAAUAAGGAGAGGGCAAGAUCUGGUGUCAGCCGCCGCGGUAAUACCAGCUCUCCGAGUGGUGUGGAUGUUUAUUGGGCCUAAAGCAUCCGUAGCUGGCCAAGUUAGUCCCCUGUUAAAUCCACCGAUUUAAUCGUUGGCGUGCGGGGGAUACUGCUCGGCUAGGGGACGGGAGAGGCAGACGGUAUUUCCGGGGUAGGGGUGAAAUCCUAUAAUCCCGGGAGGACCACCAGUGGCGAAGGCUGUCUGCUAGAACGUGCCCGACGGUGAGGGAUGAAAGCUGGGGGAGCGAACCGGAUUAGAUACCCGGGUAGUCCCAGCUGUAAACGAUGCAGGCUAGGUGUUUGGACGGCCACGUGCCGUUCUAGUGCCGCAGGGAAGCCGUUAAGCCUGCCGCCUGGGGAGUACGGUCGCAAGGCUGAAACUUAAAGGAAUUGGCGGGGGAGCACCACAAGGGGUGAAGCUUGCGGUUUAAUUGGAUUCAACGCCGGA